GACAGAGGGUGCAAACGUUGCUCGGAAUUACUGGGCGUAAAGCGCGUGUAGGCGGAUCGGAAAGUCGGACGUGAAAUCCCCGGGCUCAACCCAGGAACUGCGCUCGAAACUUCCGACCUUGAGUGAUGGAGAGGAUAGUGGAAUUCUCGGUGUAGAGGUGAAAUUCGUAGAUAUCGAGAGGAACACCAGUGGCGAAGGCGGCUAUCUGGACAUCAACUGACGCUGAGACGCGAAAGCGUGGGGAGCAAACAGG
RNAcentral lists this ribosomal RNA (253 nucleotides) under uncultured bacterium. Its description in RNAcentral is "partial 16S ribosomal RNA". It matches the Rfam family "Bacterial small subunit ribosomal RNA", at positions 524 to 776 of the family's 1533-position model. The record is from RNAcentral.